Pelobates cultripes (western spadefoot toad) is the source of this 436-nucleotide non-coding RNA. Lineage: Eukaryota; Metazoa; Chordata; Amphibia; Anura; Pelobatidae. The record is from the annotation of a GenBank genome assembly.
CACAGCUUUUCUAAUUUGGAUUCUUAGUUAAAUUGCAUUUUACAACUUAAAGGAGAAACUCUCCAUGCGAGGCUCCAUUUUCUUUUAAGAUUUAGCAAAUUACAUCACAAUCAAGUUCAGUCCUGGCACAGCCAGAAUAAACACUGCAAAUGAGAAGGAGAAAUAGAAAGAUUGUUUUUGUUCUCCUCUGUAUGUUUUCUCUAUGUUGGCCGCCUGGUGCAAAAGAUGCAGCUUAUAACGAUGAGAGCUAAGAUGGAGGCUCUCCGUUGCAGGAUAAAGAGAGAGAUUUUUGCAUUAAAUUUUAUUUUUCAUAACUCAGAAAUAUAUAUUGGUUAAAUUUAGGGGUAGGUAAUGAAAAAAAUAAAAGAUGCUGGGAAGUCACAGUUCCCUUUUAAAACUAUACAUGCAAUACUAUAAAUCACUUAAUGGAAUAUUU